UACGGGGGGGAGCAAGCGUUGUUCGGAUUUACUGGGCGUAAAGGGCGCGUAGGCGGUCGUGACAAGUCACUUGUGAAAUCUCCGGGCUUAACUCGGAACGGUCAAGUGAUACUGUCGGACUAGAGUACAGAAGGGGCAACUGGAAUUCUCGGUGUAGCGGUGAAAUGCGUAGAUAUCUGGAGGAACACCGGUGGCGAAGGCGGCAUCCUGGACCGACACUGACACUGAGGAGCGAAAGCCAGGGGAGCAAACGGG
RNAcentral lists this ribosomal RNA (255 nucleotides) under uncultured bacterium. Its description in RNAcentral is "partial 16S ribosomal RNA". It matches the Rfam family "Bacterial small subunit ribosomal RNA", at positions 524 to 776 of the family's 1533-position model. The record is from RNAcentral.